Molecule: transfer RNA, 74 nt
Filed under: bacterium
Lineage: Bacteria
Description: tRNA-Gly
Rfam family: tRNA
About the family: Transfer RNA (tRNA) molecules are approximately 80 nucleotides in length. Their secondary structure includes four short double-helical elements and three loops (D, anti-codon, and T loops). Further hydrogen bonds mediate the characteristic L-shaped molecular structure. tRNAs have two regions of fundamental functional importance: the anti-codon, which is responsible for specific mRNA codon recognition, and the 3' end, to which the tRNAs corresponding amino acid is attached (by aminoacyl-tRNA synthetases). tRNAs cope with the degeneracy of the genetic code in two manners: having more than one tRNA (with a specific anti-codon) for a particular amino acid; and 'wobble' base-pairing, i.e. permitting non-standard base-pairing at the 3rd anti-codon position.
Source: RNAcentral
GCGGGCAUGGUGUAGCAGCAGCACAAAACCCUUCCAAGGUUUGAGCGCGAGUGCAAGUCUCGCUGCCCGCUCCA